UACGUAGGGUGCAAGCGUUAAUCGGAAUUACUGGGCGCAAAGCGUGCGUAGGCGGUUUUGUAAGUCUGUCGUGAAAGCCCCGGGCUCAACCUGGGAAUUGCGAUGGAGACUGCAAGGCUUGAAUCUGGCAGAGGGGGGUAGAAUUCCACGUGUAGCAGUGAAAUGCGUAGAGAUGUGGAGGAACACCGAUGGCGAAGGCAGCCCCCUGGGUCAAGAUUGACGCUCAUGCACGAAAGCGUGGGGAGCAAACAGG
Molecule: ribosomal RNA, 253 nt
Filed under: uncultured bacterium
Lineage: Bacteria
Description: partial 16S ribosomal RNA
Rfam family: Bacterial small subunit ribosomal RNA
Source: RNAcentral